Molecule: long non-coding RNA, 756 nt
Filed under: Aedes aegypti (yellow fever mosquito)
Lineage: Eukaryota; Metazoa; Arthropoda; Insecta; Diptera; Culicidae
Description: lncRNA AAEL022032
Source: RNAcentral
GCAGAAGUUCGCGAUCGCGAAGUCUUUGUGCGGAUUAAUCGUCGCGAUAAUCUUGGGAAUCUUAAGUUUUCAAAUAUGGUGAAAUAAAAAUUUAACGGCCCAUCAGCAAGCGGAGCCAACUCCCAGGACAAUUGCAAUUUCCUCAUGGCAAGUGGCUCACAGCGAAAGAGUGUUCAGCCAAACAUAGCGAUUGCCGUCGACCAGCAAUAGUCGUGAUCCUGACCACAAUCCUCGGAAUCCGGAAAGAGGAUCAUUGGUCUUUCUUUUGUUCCAGAACCUGCUCCAGUAUUACCACCGGAUUUGCCUGUAGAAUGAAGUGCCGUUCCUUCGGAGCCUUAAGCCUUCUUCGGAUGGCACUGGAAAGCGGAGAUUGUCAUCAAAUGGACCCAAUUCAUUCUGCUGUCCAUGGGUGGAAAAAAUCCAAAACUCCUGCCUCCACGAAUACACGACAUGCAAUCGAUGAACCAGAUCAGCCGCAAAAUACAAUGCAACCGAGUGGUAGGUACUUCUAAUGCGGGAGCACUCGAUCUAGCAUUGGAACGGCGACUACAGUUAAACGGAUCGGCACGAAAAACUUGAACGAGCUUUACGAUUCAUUUCACUCUUGGCUGGAAGAAACUAAUCACUACCUGAAGUGCCUGCAGGCUUGAUUUUAAUCUCUGUCCACUGCGGGUUCUCGGACUAUCACAUGAAGUGCUCCAGUCGUUAUGCUGCAUUAUUUUAAAGUUUUUGAAGCAAUAAAAAUGGAAUAAAUAA